UGGGGAAUAUUGGACAGUGGGCGAAAGCCUGAUCCAGCAAUGCCGCGUGAGUGAUGAAGGCCUUAGGGUUGUAAAGCUCUUUUACCCGGGAUGAUAAUGACAGUACCGGGAGAAUAAGCUCCGGCUAACUCCGUG
RNAcentral lists this ribosomal RNA (135 nucleotides) under uncultured bacterium. RNAcentral's name for it is "partial 16S rRNA". It matches the Rfam family "Bacterial small subunit ribosomal RNA", at positions 355 to 507 of the family's 1533-position model. The record is from RNAcentral.